GGGCGGUUAGCUCAGCUGGGAGAGCGUCCGGUUUACACCCGGGAGGUCGCAGGUUCGAACCCUGCACCGCCCACCA
Molecule: transfer RNA, 76 nt
Filed under: Rhodospirillaceae bacterium
Lineage: Bacteria; Pseudomonadati; Pseudomonadota; Alphaproteobacteria; Rhodospirillales; Rhodospirillaceae
Description: tRNA-Val
Rfam family: tRNA
About the family: Transfer RNA (tRNA) molecules are approximately 80 nucleotides in length. Their secondary structure includes four short double-helical elements and three loops (D, anti-codon, and T loops).
Source: RNAcentral